AGUGAACGCUGGCGGUAGGCCUAACACAUGCAAGUCGAACGGCAGCACAGUAAGAGCUUGCUCUUACGGGUGGCGAGUGGCGGACGGGUGAGGAAUACAUCGGAAUCUACUUUUUCGUGGGGGAUAACGUAGGGAAACUUACGCUAAUACCGCAUACGACCUACGGGUGAAAGCAGGGGAUCUUCGGACCUUGCGCGAUUGAAUGAGCCGAUGUCGGAUUAGCUAGUUGGCGGGGUAAAGGCCCACCAAGGCGACGAUCCGUAGCUGGUCUGAGAGGAUGAUCAGCCACACUGGAACUGAGACACGGUCCAGACUCCUACGGGAGGCAGCAGUGGGGAAUAUUGGACAAUGGGCGGAAGGCUGAUCCAGCCAUACCGCGUGGGUGAAGAAGGCCUUCGGGUUGUAAAGCCCUUUUGUUGGGAAAGAAAAGCAGCAGGUUAAUACCCCGCUGUUCUGACGGUACCCAAAGAAUAAGCACCGGCUAACUUCGUG
This 492-nucleotide ribosomal RNA is filed under the name uncultured bacterium. RNAcentral describes it as "partial 16S ribosomal RNA". It matches the Rfam family "Bacterial small subunit ribosomal RNA", at positions 29 to 507 of the family's 1533-position model. The record is from RNAcentral.